CAGGGUCCUAACAUUCUACUGGAUGACUCUCUUUCGGUUGAGGUGGAUAAGAACUUGCUAAAUGCAGUUAAAGAUUCAAUUGUUCAAGGGUUUCAGUGGGGUGCUAGAGAAGGCCCCUUGUGUGAUGAACCAAUUAGGAAUGUGAAGUUCAAGAUCCUAAAUGCAAAUAUCGCUCCAGAACCACUGCACCGUGGUGGCGGCCAAAUAAUCCCCACAGCUCGUCGGGUUGUCUACUCAGCAUUUCUGAUGGCCAAUCCUCGAAUUUUUUUGACCGAGCGGCCUGCCCGAACGUUUGAGGAGGGUUUGAGGGGUCCGGUUGUAGAUGUUGUAAGUUCUUCUAGACAUAUUUCUCUGGACAAACACUUCAUUGUUGAAGACUGGUUCUUCUAGCUA
Molecule: long non-coding RNA, 393 nt
Organism: Hordeum vulgare subsp. vulgare (domesticated barley)
Lineage: Eukaryota; Viridiplantae; Streptophyta; Magnoliopsida; Poales; Poaceae
Exons: 2
Source: RefSeq, a predicted model, not a curated record